ACCGAGAUUCGUGCGCACCAGUGAUCUCCAAAACCACAGCAAAACGGGGAAACACAUUCGAAAUGCUGCUCCGUUCUCCAGUUGUCGAGCAGGGAGGAAGAGAGAAAAGGGAAGAGAAAGCCUCAAGACAAAGCAACAGGUUAGUUUGUCCGUCAGUGAAUUGGUCUACACCUUCACAGAGCUAUAUUUUAUUUAUGAUAAUAUACUGUAUCUAAUUACACAAGGCCAUUUUAGGACCUAGGUGAAAUAACUGUUUAGGGAAAACUGCUUUUAAUGCUGGCAUACUAACCAUUUGUUGUUACUUUGUAGAUAUUACAAUACAUUUGGAAAUGAUAGCAAUGUUGUUGGACUUUAAAAGCAGUGUAUAUGGUUUGGCACAGGCAUAUUUUGAGUUCUGAUAUUGGGCUUGUUUUUUGGGCUUGUUUUAUUGGCCAUUGGGCUGGUUUGGGCUGGUUUUGAUUGGCCAUUGGGCUGGUUUUGUCACAUAGACCUGGCAACCCUGGUCUGCCUUCAAGUGCGCAGUGAAUUUCAUCGGCGUCAGUCCACUAUCGAUUCCUUUGUCCUUUACACCGACCCGCACCACAGUCUUCAAGGUACUAUCACGUUAAGCAAUUUAGUGAGUGUUAAGUAUUUAGUGAGAGAAAAAUGGAUAGAAGACAAGUGAGAAAGCGAGCAGUAAAAAGAAUCCGAGCCAUGAUGGCAUCUUUUCAGAGUGAAGGAGAUGUUGAGGCUGCAGAGGUUAUGACUCAGGUUUAUCAAUCUGAAGCAGAAUCAGACUCGGAUGGCCAGACAGGUGACGUGAAUAUCAAUGCUUGUGAGGGUUUACAGGUCUAUCAGUCUGAUGAUGGAGAAUCAGAUGCAGAUGGCCAAUCAUAUGUCUUGGAUGAGAAUACUUCUGAUAAUUCCUUAAAUAGUUCUUUGUGUGACUGGGCUGUGAACUUUAAUGUCUCUUUGGUUGCUCUGACUGCACUCCUGACUAUCUUGAGGAUGUAUCAUCCUUUUCUCCCCAAGGAUGCUAGAACGCUUCUCACAACCAAAACUGUCUAUAAGGUUCAAAGUUUAGGUGGUGGCAAAUACUUUUACUUUGGAAUACUAGAAUCACUUAGUAAAACCUUUGAAAGAGUUUGGUCUAAGGUUCCAGAUGGACACGUGUUUAGACUGCAGUUAAACAUAGAUGGAUUACCACUUUUCAAAAGUUCGAAAAUCCAGUUCUGGCCUAUUUUGGGUUUACUUCAGGGUCAUACAAAAGAACCAGUUAUUAUUGCCCUCUUUUGUGGGACCUCAAAGCCAUCCUCACGAAGUGACUACUUCAGAGAUCUGGUUAAUGAAAUUAAAAUACUUGGCCAGGGCUUUAUCAUAAAGGGUAAGCAUUUUCUUCUUAGGGUGAGCUCUGUUAUUUGUGAUGCUCCGGCUCGGGCUUUUGUUAAGGGAAUUAAGUCACACACUGGAUAUCUAGGAUGCGAUAAAUGCAUUCAAACAGGGGUUUGGAUCAAUCAUAGGAUGACCUUUCCAGAGGUCAAUAGUCCUUGCAGAACUGAUACAUCCUUUAUCAGUAUGUCUGACGAGGGACACCACACUGCAGUUUCCCCCUUGACAGGUUUAAAUAUUGGGAUGGUAACAUGCUUUCCACACGAUUAUAUGCAUCUAGUUUGUCUUGGUGUUAUGAGAAAACUGUUAGAUCUGUGGCACAUGUCAGGACCUGUUCGUUGUCGAAUCUCUGCUCGUCAGAGUGAACUGAUUUCAAAUGCACUAAUGUGCUUGAAAGAUUCAAUUCCAGUUGACUUUGCUCGAAAGCCAAGACAUUUAUCAGAGCGACAAAGGUGGAAGGCAACAGAGCUAAGGCAGUUUUUAUUGUACACUGGUCCUGUGGUCCUCCGUGAUGUGCUUGCAGUUCCAUUAUAUCAAAAUUGUAUGCUGCUAUCUGUGUCCAUUUUUAUCUUGUCAAGUUCAACAUUGUGUCUGGCCUUAAAUGAUUUUGCCCAUAGUCUUCUUGUGUCAUUUGUGCAACAUUAUAGUCAGUUGUAUGGUCCAGAGCAUGUUGUUUAUAAUAUUCACGGACUAACGCAUCUUUGUGAGGGUGUACGGUUACAUGGAAACCUGAACUUAAUAUCUGGUUUUCCAUUUGAGAACUACUUAGGGCAGAUCAAGAAAAUGAUAAGAACUCCACACCAUCCAUUGUCUCAGGUCAUUCGAAGACUCUCAGAAAUUAACAGUUCCGUCAGAAUUGACAAAAUGCAGGGAAAGGGGACUUUACGUAAAGAGCACAAAGAUGGCCCUGUACCAACCGGUUUCAAAAAUGUGUCACAAUUUCAAGAGGUAGUCAUAGGGCCUUCAACAAUCAACAUCUGUCGUGGGGCAGAAAACUGUGUUAAAAUAGGCAACAGCGUUGCUUUAGUGAUGAAUAUUGUUUUGUCGGAUGACAGCACGUAUAUAGUUUACAAAGAAUAUGAGCAACAGGAUCCUUUUUUUGAUUACCCCAUAAUCUCUACUGAUCUUGGGAUCUUUGUUGUCAGUAAUUUGUCAAAUGAUGUUCAAACAAAAAAACUUGAUGACAAUAUAGUAAAGUAUGCCAAGUUACCAUACAAGGGGAAAUUCAUAGCUAUUCCUCUCUUGCACACAAGUAGAUAAACGGUUGAUAAUUGGGUCAAUAGUGGAGUUGGCGUGGAAUAUUAUAUAUAGGAUCUACUACAAAACAAGGCAUCUACAGCCUUUUUAAAUGACCACAUACAGUAGUUCAAUUUGUAAAUGCUUAAACUUUAUUGCUAUUUGAGAUUUUUCAAUCCCCUUUUGUGAUUUGCUUUACAAAACUUGAUACACUGAAUAUUUAUUUUAUCUCUGGCAGAAAAUUAUGUUUAAGAUAGUCGAGUUUUUGGAGACCAGGGAGGUAGAGUUCGUGCCAGGUGCUUGGGUAAAGGACAAUGAAUGCCUGUGGCCAGCGCUCAAAGGAAAGGCCUUGGAGACGGCAAUAAAACUAAAGGUCAAUCCUGAACCAAGCUGCAUGCCAUGGACUGUUCGACAGAUGUUUACAACUGAUAAUUAUCAGGAAGGCAGACGGAAGUUGCGGGAAGCUGAAGAGCGAUCAGACCUUCAGUCGGAUGCUGAAGACUGCAGUGGAAGGGGGGCAAGGCGAAAAAUACCAAGUAGGCGGCUUCAACAAACUGCCGACAGCUAUCUGGCGGAUAGUGAGGAUGAGUCAGGACUACAGCAGCGAAAUAAUGGUUUACCUGAUGCUCCACCAAUGAGCCCACCAAAAACACUGACAACGCUCCACUGUAAGACCUCUCAUCAAACCCAUGCUGGCCUAAACCAAAACGAACUGGAAGAUGAGAUGUGCCAGUCUGCCUGCUCUCCUUACUGGCAUGCAGAAGACCAGAGAAACAGCUUGCAGGCUUCACAUCAUAAUCAGUGGCUUCAACAGUUUGAAUCUUUUCAGGAGCCUCAAAAGCUUGAAACUCAAAGGACCCUGCAAAGGCCACAAGACAGUGCAGCAGUUGUGAGUCACAAGGAUUCACUUGCAGCUGUCCAGGUUCCUCAGAAAACAUCCAGUUCAUGGACCCUGCGAAGGCCACAAAACAAUGGGAGCUGCCACGAGACACCCACAUCAAGAGUUGGUGAGAAUUCUGAUCAUCCAGGGCCUCAGCCAGUGCCUGUGCCAUCCUGGAGUCCUCAGGCCCCAUUUGAAACUACAACCUCAUUAAUGCGGGAAAUGCUUACGAAGCAGGAGAUGAUUCUCGAGCAACAAACACGCAUCCUACAGAUUCUACAUGCAAGAAAACAAGAUGCGUCUCAAUUUGAAAUAGAUGAGGGUCUCCUGCCAGUAAGGGACCAGCAAGGCCUCCAACGUCUUGAAAGCCAACUUCAGGAAUCUGACUUUCGAUCAAAACUGAUAAACCAUCUCAGCCUGAUUGGCGGAAGUGAUGUCAAGGAUACGGUUUGGCGUCUCAUGAAGCACACAAUCUCAAACACCCUGGCAAAGGAAACCAAUUGGAGAGGAGUAAAUGGGAAAACAUCCAUGGCUUCCCUGCAACUGAAGACAGCUGUAAUCGCUGCCGUACGGAAGAACCCACUGACAUCGAGGGCUUCUGAACGUGAGGUGGAGAUGUUCAUGAAGAGGUGGAGAUGUUCAUGAAGAGGUGGCUACAGCUGGCAGCGGACAGAGAAGGGGGCAGAAGAAGGCGAGCCCAAAUCCCUUCAGCUCCCUGAACUUGUUGAUUAUUGUUAUAUUGAUUGUUAAGCUCUUCAAUACAUUGUUUUAUAAAUAAUUUUAGCUCCAUGAACUUGUUGGUUAUUGUUAUAUAUUAUAUUGAUUGUUAAGCUCUUCAAUACAUCGUUUUAUAAAUAAUUUUAGCUCCAUGAACUUGUUGGUUAUUGUUAUAUGUUCUAUUGAUUGUUAAGCUCUUCAAUACAUUGUUUUAUAAAUAAUUUUAGCUCCAUGAACUUGUUGGUUAUUGUUAUAUAUUAUAUUGAUUGUUAAGCUCUUCAAUACAUUGUUUUAUAAAUAAUUUUAGCUCCAUGAACUUGUUGGUUAUUGUUAUAUGUUAUAUUGAUUGUUAAGCUCUUCAAUACAUCGUUUUAUAAAUAAUUUUAGCUCCAUG
This is an RNA transcript of Pseudoliparis swirei, 4595 nucleotides long. RefSeq lists it as uncharacterized. Lineage: Eukaryota; Metazoa; Chordata; Actinopteri; Perciformes; Liparidae. The record is from RefSeq and is a predicted model, not a curated record. The transcript has 11 exons.